CCAAACCAACAAGCUUGCUUGUUGGGGUUGUAGGACACUCUAUACGGAGUUACAAAAGAACAUGUUAGACGAAUCAUCUGGAAAGAUGAAUCAAAGAAGGUAAUAAUCCUGUAGUCGAAAACAUAUUCUCUCUUGAGUGGAUCCUGAGUACGACGGAGCACGUGAAAUUCCGUCGGAAUCUGGGAGGACCAUCUCCUAAGGCUAAAUACUCUCUAGUGACCGAUAGUGAACCAGUACCGUGAGGGAAAGGUGAAAAGUACCCCGGAAGGGGAGUGAAAGAGAACUUGAAACCGUGUGCUUACAAGUAGUCAGAGCCCGUUAAUGGGUGAUGGCGUGCCUUUUGUAGAAUGAACCGGCGAGUUACGAUCUGAUGCAAGGUUAAGCAGCAAAUGUGGAGCCGCAGCGAAAGCGAGUCUGAAUAGGGCGUUGAGUAUUUGGUCGUAGACCCGAAACCAGGUGAUCUACCCUUGGUCAGGUUGAAGUUCAGGUAACACUGAAUGGAGGACCGAACCGACUUACGUUGAAAAGUGAGCGGAUGAACUGAGGGUAGCGGAGAAAUUCCAAUCGAACUUGGAGAUAGCUGGUUCUCUCCGAAAUAGCUUUAGGGCUAGCCUCAAGUGAUGAUUAUUGGAGGUAGAGCACUGUUUGGACGAGGGGCCCCUCUCGGGUUACCGAAUUCAGACAAACUCCGAAUGCCAAUUAAUUUAACUUGGGAGUCAGAACAUGGGUGAUAAGGUCCGUGUUCGAAAGGGAAACAGCCCAGACCACCAGCUAAGGUCCCAAAAUAUAUGUUAAGUGGAAAAGGAUGUGGCGUUGCCCAGACAACUAGGAUGUUGGCUUAGAAGCAGCCAUCAUUUAAAGAGUGCGUAAUAGCUCACUAGUCGAGUGACACUGCGCCGAAAAUGUACCGGGGCUAAACAUAUUACCGAAGCUGUGGAUUGUCCUUUGGACAAUGGUAGGAGAGCGUUCUAAGGGCGUCGAAGCAUGAUCGCAAGGACAUGUGGAGCGCUUAGAAGUGAGAAUGCCGGUGUGAGUAGCGAAAGACGGGUGAGAAUCCCGUCCACCGAUUGACUAAGGUUUCCAGAGGAAGGCUCGUCCGCUCUGGGUUAGUCGGGUCCUAAGCUGAGGCCGACAGGCGUAGGCGAUGGAUAACAGGUUGAUAUUCCUGUACCACCUAGUAUCGUUUUAAUCGAUGGGGGGACGCAGUAGGAUAGGCGAAGCGUGCUGUUGGAGUGCACGUCCAAGCAGUAAGGCUGAGUGUUAGGCAAAUCCGGCACUCAUAAGGCUGAGCUGUGAUGGGGAGAGGAAAUUGUUUCCUCGAGUCGUUGAUUUCACACUGCCGAGAAAAGCCUCUAGAUAGAUAACAGGUGCCCGUACCGCAAACCGACACAGGUAGUCAAGAUGAGAAUUCUAAGGUGAGCGAGCGAACUCUCGUUAAGGAACUCGGCAAAAUGACCCCGUAACUUCGGGAGAAGGGGUGCUCUUUAGGGUUCACGCCCAGAAGAGCCGCAGUGAAUAGGCCCAAGCGACUGUUUAUCAAAAACACAGGUCUCUGCUAAACCGUAAGGUGAUGUAUAGGGGCUGACGCCUGCCCGGUGCUGGAAGGUUAAGAGGAGUGGUUAGCUUCUGCGAAGCUACGAAUCGAAGCCCCAGUAAACGGCGGCCGUAACUAUAACGGUCCUAAGGUAGCGAAAUUCCUUGUCGGGUAAGUUCCGACCCGCACGAAAGGCGUAA
This 1734-nucleotide ribosomal RNA is filed under the name Streptococcus pneumoniae. Its description in RNAcentral is "bacterial LSU rRNA". It matches the Rfam family "Bacterial large subunit ribosomal RNA", at positions 269 to 2004 of the family's 2925-position model. The record is from RNAcentral. Lineage: Bacteria; Bacillati; Bacillota; Bacilli; Lactobacillales; Streptococcaceae.